GAUGAACGCUGGCGGCGUGCCUAAUACAUGCAAGUCGAGCGAACAGAUAAGGAGCUUGCUCCUUUGACGUUAGCGGCGGACGGGUGAGUAACACGUGGGUAACCUACCUAUAAGACUGGAAUAACUCCGGGAAACCGGGGCUAAUGCCGGAUAACAUGUUGAACCGCAUGGUUCUACAGUGAAAGGCGGCUUUGCUGUCACUUAUAGAUGGACCCGCGCCGUAUUAGCUAGUUGGUGAGGUAACGGCUCACCAAGGCAACGGUACGUAGCCGACCUGAGAGGGAGAUCGGCCACACUGGAACUGAGACACGGUCCAGACUCCUACGGGAGGCAGCAGUAGGGAAUCUUCCGCAAUGGGCGAAAGCCUGACGGAGCAACGCCGCGUGAGUGAUGAAGGUCUUCGGAUCGUAAAACUCUGUUAUUAGGGAAGAACAAAUGCGUAAGUAACUGUGCGCGUCUUGACGGUACCUAAUCAGAAAGCCACGGCUAACUACGUG
Molecule: ribosomal RNA, 497 nt
Filed under: uncultured bacterium
Lineage: Bacteria
Description: partial 16S ribosomal RNA
Rfam family: Bacterial small subunit ribosomal RNA
Source: RNAcentral